AUGUCCUCCUCCCACCGCUCGCAUCUCACAUGUCGGCCGACCGCCGACACAGCAACGUCCGCUCGUCGGCCAGGCUCGGCCCUCGCCCAACAGCUCGUCGGUGAGCCUUUGCCGAUAAUCAAGUGUGACCACUGCUGGCGGCUCGUGGUGCGCCAUGUUUCGAGCAUGCCGAAACAUCCCAGAUGGGUUUACUUCAAGUGCGAAAAGGACGGGGACGGAUGCAAAUUUUGGUAUUGGGAAGAAGAAUAUAUUGAUCUAUUGAUAGCAAGAAAUUUGCUUGAUGUUGGUGCAUUAGUUGCUAGAGAUGAAGCUAGAGAGGAUGCAAUGUUCAAGUUUGAAGAGGAAGAGAAGAAAGAAGUGUGCAAGCUGAAGCCGGUAGGGAAAAGAAACAAUGUAGUCAAUCAAGAGAUGGAGAAAGCAUUGAUUGGAUUAACAGGAGCAGUUAAGGAAGUAGUGUUUCUAUUAAAAUGUGUAUUUUUUCUUGUAGUUUUCUUUGGAUUGGUUCUCUUAGUGAAGAAUUGGUGGAGUAUGUAA
This 534-nucleotide ribosomal RNA is filed under the name Triticum aestivum (bread wheat). RNAcentral's name for it is "partial small subunit ribosomal RNA". Lineage: Eukaryota; Viridiplantae; Streptophyta; Magnoliopsida; Poales; Poaceae. The record is from RNAcentral.